This 490-nucleotide ribosomal RNA is filed under the name Sorites sp. FII78_1350x. RNAcentral's name for it is "bacterial SSU rRNA". The stretch from base 16 to 214 matches the Rfam family "Eukaryotic small subunit ribosomal RNA", at positions 753 to 974 of the family's 1831-position model. Lineage: Eukaryota; Foraminifera; Miliolida; Soritidae. The record is from RNAcentral. RNAcentral also lists the same sequence under 4 other names.
AAUACAUUUUUACAAUACUGUGAACAAACCAGAGUGUAUAAAACAUGUAAUAUAUUAUAUAUUUAGCAAUGAAUGUUUUAUCAUGGAAUAUUGCUUUUUAAUAUAAUAUCGAUGGAGAUAGUUGGAGUUAAGAGUACUGAUAGGCGAGCGGUGAAAUGCAUUGACCCUAUUAAGACUAACAAAAGCGAAAGCACUUAACUAGAUUAUUCUCUUUGUAUUAUUACAAUGAAGAGCGAAGGUUGGGGGAACAAAGAGGAUCAGAUACCCUCGUAGUCCUAUUUUUACAUCAAACUAUGGGAUUUCAAUCACAAAUAAAAAACCAAAUAUAAUUGAGUAUAUAAUUAUUUACUCUUAUAUUUAAUAUAUAUUAUUGAUUAUAUGUACUUUGAGCUCAUAUAAUUAUAUAGGUGAGAUGUAAGCAUUAUAGGUGAAUAAUAUAUAAGUAAUAUUAUAUUAUUAUGAUCCUUAUUUAUAAAAAUGUAAUGUGAUG